This 301-nucleotide ribosomal RNA is filed under the name uncultured bacterium. RNAcentral's name for it is "partial 16S ribosomal RNA". It matches the Rfam family "Bacterial small subunit ribosomal RNA", at positions 509 to 809 of the family's 1533-position model. The record is from RNAcentral.
CAGCCGCCACGGUAAUACAGAGGAUGCAAGCGUUAUCCGGAAUGAUUGGGCGUAAAGGGCUCGCAGGCGGUUUCUUAAGUCUGAUGUGAAAGCCCCCGGCUCAACCGGGGAGGGUCAUUGGAAACUGGGAAACUUGAGUGCAGAUGAGGAGAGUGGAAUUCCACGUGUAGCGGUGAAACGCGUAGAGAUGUGGAGGAACACCAGUGGCGAAGGCGACUCUCUGGUCUGUAACUGACGCUGAGGAGCGAAAGCGUGGGGAGCGAACAGGAUUAGAGACCCCUGUAGUCCCUGUCUCUUAUAU